RNAcentral lists this ribosomal RNA (472 nucleotides) under uncultured bacterium. Its description in RNAcentral is "bacterial SSU rRNA". It matches the Rfam family "Bacterial small subunit ribosomal RNA", at positions 18 to 504 of the family's 1533-position model. The record is from RNAcentral.
CAUGGCUCAGGACGAACGCUGGCGGCGUGCUUAACACAUGCAAGUCGAGGGAACCUCGCAAGGGGUGACCGGCGAACGGGUGCGUAACACGUGAGCGACCUUCCGUCUUCUGGGGGAUAGCCGGCCCAACGGCCGGGUAAUACCGCAUACGCUGUUUGAGCCGCAUGGCUUGGACAGGAGACUUCCGGGGGAGGACGAGGGGCUCGCGGCCUAUCAGCUAGUUGGUGCGGUAACGGCGCACCAAGGCGACGACGGGUAGCUGGUCUGAGAGGAUGGCCAGCCACAUUGGGACUGAGAGACGGCCCAGACUCCUACGGGAGGCAGCAGUGGGGAAUCUUGCGCAAUGGCCGAAAGGCUGACGCAGCGACGCCGCGUGUGGGAGGAAGCUCUUCGGGGUGUAAACCACUGUUGCCCGGGACGAACACUUGUUUUACCAAGCUACGGUACCGGGUAGGAAGCACCGGCUAACUGU